UUAGGGCUAGCGUCGGAUAUGAGUAAUGGAGGUAGAGCACUGAAUGGGCUAGGGGGCGUAUCGCUUACCGAACCUUAUCAAACUCCGAAUGCCAUAUACUAUUAGUCCGGCAGUCAGACUGCGAAUGAUAAGGUCCGUAGUCAAAAGGGAAAAAGCCCAGACCGUCAGCUAAGGUCCCAAAUUGUAAGUUAAGUGGUAAAGGAUGUGGGAUUUCUAAGACAACUAGGAUGUUGGCUUAGAAGCAGCCACUCAUUUAAAGAGUGCGUAAUAGCUCACUGGUCGAGUGACGCUGCGCCGAAAAUGUAUCGGGGCUAAACGAUUCACCGAAGCUGUGGAUGGACACUUUAAGUGUCCGUGGUAGGAGAGCGUUCUAAUUGCUGUGAAGUCAGAUCGUAAGGACUGGUGGAGCGAUUA
RNAcentral lists this ribosomal RNA (414 nucleotides) under Pseudomonas aeruginosa. RNAcentral describes it as "partial 23S ribosomal RNA". It matches the Rfam family "Bacterial large subunit ribosomal RNA", at positions 870 to 1284 of the family's 2925-position model. Lineage: Bacteria; Pseudomonadati; Pseudomonadota; Gammaproteobacteria; Pseudomonadales; Pseudomonadaceae. The record is from RNAcentral.